Molecule: ribosomal RNA, 441 nt
Filed under: uncultured bacterium
Lineage: Bacteria
Description: partial 16S ribosomal RNA
Rfam family: Bacterial small subunit ribosomal RNA
Source: RNAcentral
CCUACGGGAGGCUGCAGUGGGGAAUAUUGCACAAUGGGGGAAACCCUGAUGCAGCGACGCCGCGUGAGUGAAGAAGUAUUUCGGUAUGUAAAGCUCUAUCAGCAGGAACGAGACAAGACGGUACCUGACUAAGAAGCCCCGGCUAACUACGUGCCAGCAGCCGCGGUAAUACGUAGGGGGCAAGCGUUAUCCGGAAUCACUGGGUGUAAGGGGAGCGUAGACGGCUGAGCAAGCCUGAAGUGAAAGGCGGGGGCCCAACCCCCGGACUGCUUUGGGAACUGUACGGCUGGAGUGCAGGAGAGGUAAGUGGAAUUCCUAGUGUAGCGGUGAAAUGCGUAGAUAUUAGGGGGAACACCAGUGGCGAGGGCGGCUUACUGGACUGUAACUGACGUUGAGGCUCGAAAGCGUGGGGAGCAAACAGGAUUAGAUACCCCUGUAGUC